UACAGAGGUCUCAAGCGUUGUUCGGAUUCAUUGGGCGUAAAGGGUGCGUAGGUGGCGUGGUAAGUUUGAUGUGAAAGCUCAGGGCUUAACCCUGAAAUGGCAUUGAAUACUACUGUGCUGGAGGUUUGGAGGGGGGACUGGAAUUCUUGGUGUAGCAGUGAAAUGCGUAGAUAUCAAGAGGAACACCAGUGGCGAAGGCGAGUCCCUGGACAACACCUGACACUGAGGCACGAAAGCUAGGGGAGCAAACAGG
RNAcentral lists this ribosomal RNA (253 nucleotides) under uncultured bacterium. Its description in RNAcentral is "partial 16S ribosomal RNA". It matches the Rfam family "Bacterial small subunit ribosomal RNA", at positions 524 to 776 of the family's 1533-position model. The record is from RNAcentral.